ACAUACGACCAUACCCACUGGAAAACUCGGGAUCCCGUCCGCUCUCCCAUAGAUAAGCCAGGGAGGGGAAGGUUAUCUAUAGGAGGAGUUUUUGAUAGGGGUUUGGAUGAUUUAGCUAAAAACGCCGCUGCCGUUUUUC
Molecule: ribosomal RNA, 139 nt
Filed under: Neurospora tetrasperma FGSC 2509
Lineage: Eukaryota; Fungi; Ascomycota; Sordariomycetes; Sordariales; Sordariaceae
Source: RNAcentral